CAGCCGCCGCGGGAAUACGGAGGAUCCGAGCGUUAUCCGGAAUUAUUGGGUUUAAAGGGUGCGUAGGCGGAUAGAUAAGUCAGUGGUGAAAGACGGUGGCUCAACCAUCGCAGUGCCGUUGAUACUGUUUAUCUUGAAUAUGGAUGAGGUAGGCGGAAUGUGGCAAGUAGCGGUGAAAUGCAUAGAUAUGCCACAGAACACCGAUUGCGAAGGCAGCUUACCAAGGCAAAAUUGACGCUGAGGCACGAAAGCGUGGGGAUCGAACAGGAUUAGAGACCCCCGUAGUCCCUGUCUCUUAUAC
Molecule: ribosomal RNA, 301 nt
Filed under: uncultured bacterium
Lineage: Bacteria
Description: partial 16S ribosomal RNA
Rfam family: Bacterial small subunit ribosomal RNA
Source: RNAcentral